RNAcentral lists this ribosomal RNA (229 nucleotides) under uncultured bacterium. RNAcentral describes it as "partial 16S ribosomal RNA". It matches the Rfam family "Bacterial small subunit ribosomal RNA", at positions 568 to 796 of the family's 1533-position model. The record is from RNAcentral.
UGCGUAGGCGGGGCAAUUAGUCAGUGGUGAAAUCCUGCGGCUUAACCGUAGAACUGCCAUUGAUACUGUUGCCCUUGAGUAUAGUUGAGGUGGGCGGAAUGUGUAAUGUAGCGGUGAAAUGCAUAGAGAUUACACAGAACACCAAUUGCGAAGGCAGCUCACUAAACUAUAACUGACGCUGAGGCACGAAAGCGUGGGUAGCAAACAGGAUUAGAUACCCUGGUAGUCC